This 163-nucleotide ribosomal RNA is filed under the name Weberbauera spathulifolia. Its description in RNAcentral is "5.8S ribosomal RNA". It matches the Rfam family "5.8S ribosomal RNA". From Rfam's summary of the family: 5.8S ribosomal RNA (5.8S rRNA) is a component of the large subunit of the eukaryotic ribosome. The record is from RNAcentral. Lineage: Eukaryota; Viridiplantae; Streptophyta; Magnoliopsida; Brassicales; Brassicaceae.
AACGACUCUCGGCAACGGAUAUCUCGGCUCUCGCAUCGAUGAAGAACGUAGCGAAAUGGGAUACUUGGUGUGAAUUGCAGAAUCCCGUGAACCAUCGAGUCUUUGAACGCAAGUUGCGCCCCAAGCCUUCUGGCCGAGGGCAGGUCUGCCUGGGUGUCACAAA